RNAcentral lists this unclassified non-coding RNA (1067 nucleotides) under Leishmania donovani. RNAcentral describes it as "gene:LdHU3.31.5490(CDS-product:autophagy_protein_ 10_(ATG10))". Lineage: Eukaryota; Euglenozoa; Kinetoplastea; Trypanosomatida; Trypanosomatidae. The record is from RNAcentral.
UCCCUCAUCUCCCUAUGUCGUCACGUGCUACACGGCUUCGACUCACAGAAGUCGCCCCUCAGCGGUGCCGAUUGCGUGCGGCAGGUCUUCCUGCCUCUCCUCCUCACGAGACGAUGAAAACGGACACUGCUUCGGUGCACUGCACACGAGCAAGCUUCGCACAGUUCGCACGCCAACGGUGCGCAGACUCACCGUGGGAGCUCCGAUCGAAGCGCGACCCUUUGGGGGCACCUGUGGAAUGGCUGGAGGCGACAUACAAUGUGUGUAGCUCAUUUGAGGGGUCCGCAAGCGCGGUCCUCAUCACAGUGUGUGUCCUUUUCAACGCCGACUUCGCUGUCCCACAGUUGGGCUUCUACAACUCUACCGUCACGAGCCUCGAGGGUCUGCGGAUGGCGGUGCCGAAUCUGACGUUUGUAAACGCACCGUCGACUGUGGAACCGGCCGAUGUGGCGGGGGCGUUGCGUCGACCGCUCGUGAGCUUCUCAUGGAACCAGGAGCUGGGUCAGUACAUGUGGCUUGUACACCCCUGCGACACAGAAAACCUGCUACUUUGCAGACGAUACGACGGUGAACAAGGCGACAUACUCAGCGUCUUUCUGCGCGCCAUGUCCGACUACUUCCCUUUUGCGCCGCUGCUUGUACCGCGUGCGGGCGGCAAUUUCGAUACAGCACGUACAUGACGAACCACAAAGCAAAAAAUUACAUGAACUGACCGCGUGAGGCAAUUUCGUUGUUCUUUUCGAUGAGCGCACUACACCUUCCCGCAGCUGAGUCGUACCCAACGCUGCCUGUCAAGGCUAGCCGGCGUUUUCACCGAUUUCGCCACUUGCAGCGGAGGUGGUUGCUUCGCGCCACCUUUUGAACCUCUGCGAAUCAAGUAGUGUUUUUCACUCUCUGUGACCCCCUUCCGGUGACCGUUGCUGCUUCUGGUGCCGAGCUCCUCCAGUCUCCCUCCUUCUCCUGCGUGCGCCUCAUUGCUCUUUUCGUCCCUCUUUUUUUGUUGCUCCCCUGCUUGAUCACUUCUCACCCCCGUUGGGUGACUGCGACACAACCACGCGCACCACCAG